GAGCUAACGCGUUAAAUCGACCGCCUGGGGAGUACGGCCGCAAGGUUAAAACUCAAAUGAAUUGACGGGGGCCCGCACAAGCGGUGGAGCAUGUGGUUUAAUUCGAUGCAACGCGAAGAACCUUACCUGGUCUUGACAUCCACAGAACUUAGCAGAGAUGCUUUGGUGCCUUCGGGAACUGUGAGACAGGUGCUGCAUGGCUGUCGUCAGCUCGUGUUGUGAAAUGUUGGGUUAAGUCCCGCAACGAGCGCAACCCUUAUCCUUUGUUGCCAGCGGUCCGGCCGGGAACUCAAAGGAGACUGCCAGUGAUAA
RNAcentral lists this ribosomal RNA (312 nucleotides) under Klebsiella pneumoniae. RNAcentral describes it as "bacterial SSU rRNA". It matches the Rfam family "Bacterial small subunit ribosomal RNA", at positions 848 to 1161 of the family's 1533-position model. The record is from RNAcentral. Lineage: Bacteria; Pseudomonadati; Pseudomonadota; Gammaproteobacteria; Enterobacterales; Enterobacteriaceae.